Molecule: ribosomal RNA, 256 nt
Filed under: uncultured bacterium
Lineage: Bacteria
Description: partial 16S ribosomal RNA
Rfam family: Bacterial small subunit ribosomal RNA
Source: RNAcentral
AACGAACGCUGGCGGCAGGCCUAAACAUGCAAGUCGAGCGCCCAGCAAUGGGAGCGGCGGACGGGUGAGUAACACGUGGGAAUGUACCUUUCGGUGCGGAACAACUCAGGGAAACUUGAGCUAAUGCCGCAUACGCCUUACGGGAAGGAUUAUCGCCGAAAGAUCAGCCCGCGUUGGAUUAGCUUGUUGGUGAGGUAAUGGCUCACCAAGGCGACGAUCCAUAGCUGGUGUAGAGAACGACCAGCCACACUGGGAC